CAAAGAGUGUAUGGAAGGAACUAUGCCUCACCAAGCUCUGCUCUUGGUUCUAGCUAUCCUGCUGGCCUAAUGACCCCAGUGGGGGUUAGUUCAGGAGGUCCAAUGACCUGUCCACACUAUUUGCAACAUGGACAUACUGCAGAUAUUCUAUCACAGCUGUGACCCUUUACAGGACAUUGGCAUCAUUGUUAACACAUGGCUUCCCAUGUCACCAUCCUACAAGGGCAAUGUGAGAGUGUCACUUCUGCUUUAAUUGAUUAUGAAAAACCAGUGAGGUUGAAGAAUCUGGACAAUUUACCACUGGGUCAACAGGAUGUGCAUGUUGUUUUGGUGAUCCAAUACGGUUACCACAUUGCCUGCUUCGAUGUCACUUUCAUAAAAGAUAGGGGAGACAAAGGUUUAAUAUGAAUUAGAUUACAUGAGGGACGAGAGGAGAAUAAUAAAUCCAUUUGGCCAUAUUUGGUCAAUAGUUUUAGGAUAGUGUGGUGAAUGCCACUGAAAUAACGAACAAUGUACUGAGAUAUUAGCUGUGUUUGCAAUACUUUAGAUUUGUCAUUCUAUAAACAUAUAGGAUUUUUGGACACAGAUUAAGCCUAGUAUUAGAUUUGAAACUACUUUGAAUGAAGAAUCUCUCUUAAUCAUGCUUCUUCUUAGUCUAAAACUACGCUUAAUCUGUGUCUGGGAAACCGGCCCAUGUACAAAACGAAACCACGUACAAAACGAAACCAUUUGAAUAAAACUGACCUGCAUCAUAAUUCAAAUAAGAUGAAUUAGAAACCCAUGUUUUGUGAAAGUGAAUAAUGUCAGUCUAAAUACAGUUUGUUCAAGUAUAUAUUCUUGUAAAUUAGUUAUUUCUUAUUUGCUCUGCAGGUUCUCUGAUUCCCUUGCUACAUAUUUCAACAAACAAAUUAGGUUUCUUAACGUUCUUCUGACUACUGAUGAUUCCAAAAUUAAACUCUUACUUAAAAUAAACACUUCAAAAGCAAACAUGUCCUCUGACGGAGUAGGCAUACAUCAGCAGUUUCCAGUCUGGUCCACUAGAGGGCCCACUCUUUUCAGUGUGAGACAGUACACAUAGAUAAUUCUCCAUGCCAAACGUGAGAUGUUCCUUGUUGGUUUUAUUGUUGACAUAAUUUGUGAACCCAUUACUGUAUCCUGUUACAUGAAUGUCACUGUGUUAUUUAUCAAUAAAGGUGCUCUGUGGUCGAAUUGGACAGUGAUGCUAUUUUAGCUGGAUGUUGAUACAUUGUUGCUUUUGGUGAUUGUACAUGUGAAUUUGGAUACAUUGUUAUAGGCAAUACAAUAUUAUU
This is a long non-coding RNA of Oncorhynchus gorbuscha (pink salmon), 1310 nucleotides long. RefSeq lists it as uncharacterized. The record is from RefSeq and is a predicted model, not a curated record. The transcript is spliced from 4 exons. NCBI's taxonomy places the organism in Eukaryota, Metazoa, Chordata, Actinopteri, Salmoniformes, Salmonidae.